RNAcentral lists this small nuclear RNA (107 nucleotides) under Macaca fascicularis (crab-eating macaque). The record is from RNAcentral. Lineage: Eukaryota; Metazoa; Chordata; Mammalia; Primates; Cercopithecidae.
GUGCUCACUCCUGCAGCACAUAUACUAAAAUUGGAAUCAUACAGAGAAGAUUAGCAUGGCCCCUGUGCAAGGAUGACAUGCAAAUUUGUGAAGCGUUCUAUAUUUUU